This 206-nucleotide long non-coding RNA is filed under the name Oryza brachyantha (malo sina). Its description in RNAcentral is "long non-coding RNA (OBRA_LNC000397)". The record is from RNAcentral. Lineage: Eukaryota; Viridiplantae; Streptophyta; Magnoliopsida; Poales; Poaceae.
UCAGUUAUAUGCAUAUCAUCGAUAAUGUAUCUACUAUUUACAAUACAUUUCCUAUACAUAAUUUAAUAGAGUUUACACAUUUUCUAAGCAUAUCACUCCUAUUCAACGGUGCACUAACUAAAAAAUAAAAAAAAAUGAUAGAAUGAUGGCUAUAAAGAAACCGAGAAAACAUUAUCAGAAAACAACCCAAGAGAGGCACACGCUUG